RNAcentral lists this long non-coding RNA (326 nucleotides) under Homo sapiens (human). RNAcentral describes it as "non-protein coding lnc-SPR-3:1". Lineage: Eukaryota; Metazoa; Chordata; Mammalia; Primates; Hominidae. The record is from RNAcentral.
AGAGAGGCAAAUGCCACAUUCUUAUUAGGCUGUGCUCCAAAGUCAUCGUCCAGUUUCUAACUGUGUUGCUGAAGCAUGGUUACAUUGGUGAAUUUAAAAUCAUUGAAAAUCACAGAGCUGGGAAAAUUAUUGUGAACCUCACAAGCAGGCUAAACAAGUGUGGAGUUAUCAGCCCCAGAUUUGCUGUGCAACUCAAAGAUCUAGAAAAAUGGCAGAAUAAUAAUCCCGCCAGUUUAGUUUCAUUGUAUUGACAACCUCAGCUGGUAUCACGGACCAAGAAGAAGCAAGAUGAAAACACACAGGAGGGGAAAUCCUGGGAUUCUUUU